Molecule: non-coding RNA, 28 nt
Filed under: Bombyx mori (domestic silkworm)
Lineage: Eukaryota; Metazoa; Arthropoda; Insecta; Lepidoptera; Bombycidae
Source: RNAcentral
UACUUGUGUUAUCGCGAAAAUGGAGGUA